RNAcentral lists this unclassified non-coding RNA (203 nucleotides) under Hevea brasiliensis (rubber tree). Lineage: Eukaryota; Viridiplantae; Streptophyta; Magnoliopsida; Malpighiales; Euphorbiaceae. The record is from RNAcentral.
UUCAAGAAUUCACACCCUUUUUGGCCUUUUGAUGAUUGAAUUUGUCCCUUUUCUUGAUUUUUGCUUAGUUUUCCUUUUUGGGUGUUCUUUAUUGCAUUUCAUUUCUUAUCAAUUUUUGAGAUUUUUGUAGUUGUUGUCAAUUGCCAUGGCCUCAUGGGUUUAGUGGUUUUUUUGGGGUGGGGGGUGUAUUUGAUUUGGGGUUG